Molecule: ribosomal RNA, 468 nt
Filed under: uncultured bacterium
Lineage: Bacteria
Description: partial 16S ribosomal RNA
Rfam family: Bacterial small subunit ribosomal RNA
Source: RNAcentral
GACGAACGCUGGCGGCGUGCUUAACACAUGCAAGUCGAACGGAAAGGCCCUGCUUUUGUGGGGUGCUCGAGUGGCGAACGGGUGAGUAACACGUGAGUAACCUGCCCUUGACUUUGGGAUAACUUCAGGAAACUGGGGCUAAUACCGGAUAGGAGCUCCUGCUGCAUGGUGGGGGUUGGACAGUUUCGGCGGUUGGGGAUGGACUCGCGGCUUAUCAGCUUGUUGGUGGGGGAGUGGCUUACCAAGGCUUUGACGGGUAGCCGGCAUGGGAGGGUGACCGGCCACAUUGGGACUGAGGGACGGAGCAGACUCCUACGGGAGGCAGCAGUGGGGAAUAUUGCACAAUGGGCGGAAGCCUGAUGCAGCAACGCCGCGUGCGGGAUGACGGCCUUCGGGUGGUAAACCGCUUUCGCCUGUGACGAAGCGUGAGUGACGGUAAUGGGUAAAGAAGCACCGGCUAACUACGUG